Molecule: ribosomal RNA, 819 nt
Filed under: uncultured Actinomycetes bacterium
Lineage: Bacteria; Bacillati; Actinomycetota; Actinomycetes
Description: bacterial SSU rRNA
Rfam family: Bacterial small subunit ribosomal RNA
Source: RNAcentral
ACUCCUACGGGAGGCAGCAGUGGGGAAUAUUGCGCAAUGGGCGGAAGCCUGACGCAGCGACGCCGCGUGAGGGAUGAAGGCCUUCGGGUCGUAAACCUCUUUCAGCAGGGAAGAAGCGAAAGUGACGGUACCUGCAGAAGAAGCACCGGCUAACUACGUGCCAGCAGCCGCGGUAAUACGUAGGGUGCAAGCGUUGUCCGGAAUUAUUGGGCGUAAAGAGCUCGUAGGCGGUCUGUCGCGUCUGCUGUGAAAACUCAGGGCUUAACCCUGAGCUUGCAGUGGGUACGGGCAGACUAGAGUGCGGUAGGGGAGACUGGAAUUCCUGGUGUAGCGGUGAAAUGCGCAGAUAUCAGGAGGAACACCGGUGGCGAAGGCGGGUCUCUGGGCCGUAACUGACGCUGAGGAGCGAAAGCAUGGGGAGCGAACAGGAUUAGAUACCCUGGUAGUCCAUGCCGUAAACGUUGGGCGCUAGGUGUGGGGACCUUUCCAUGGUUUCCGUGCCGCAGCUAACGCAUUAAGCGCCCCGCCUGGGGAGUACGGCCGCAAGGCUAAAACUCAAAGGAAUUGACGGGGGCCCGCACAAGCGGCGGAGCAUGCGGAUUAAUUCGAUGCAACGCGAAGAACCUUACCAAGGCUUGGCAUGGGGUGAAAACUCGCAGAGAUGCGGGGUCCGUAAGGGCGCCUCACAGGUGGUGCAUGGUUGUCGUCAGCUCGUGUCGUGAGAUGUUGGGUUAAGUCCCGCAACGAGCGCAACCCUCGUUCCAUGUUGCCAGCGCGUUAUGGCGGGGACUCAUGGGAGACUGCCGGGGUCAACUCGGA